RNAcentral lists this ribosomal RNA (589 nucleotides) under uncultured fungus. Its description in RNAcentral is "eukaryotic LSU rRNA". It matches the Rfam family "Eukaryotic large subunit ribosomal RNA", at positions 37 to 654 of the family's 3401-position model. The record is from RNAcentral. Lineage: Eukaryota; Fungi.
AGCAUAUCAAUAAGCGGAGGAAAAGAAACCAACAGGGAUUGCCUCAGUAACGGCGAGUGAAGCGGCAACAGCUCAAAUUUGAAAUCUGGCCCCAGGCCCGAGUUGUAAUUUGCAGAGGAUGCUUCUGGCGACGUGCCUUCCGAGUUCCCUGGAACGGGACGCCAUAGAGGGUGAGAGCCCCGUCCGGUCGUGCACCGAGCCUCUGUGAAGCUCCUUCGACGAGUCGAGUAGUUUGGGAAUGCUGCUCUAAAUGGGAGGUAUACGUCUUCUAAAGCUAAAUACCGGCUAGAGACCGAUAGCGCACAAGUAGAGUGAUCGAAAGAUGAAAAGCACUUUGAAAAGAGGGUUAAAUAGUACGUGAAAUUGCUGAAAGGGAAGCGCUUAUGACCAGACUUGGGCCGGUGAAUCACCCGUCGUUCUCGGCGGUGCACUUUGCCGGCUCAGGCCAGCAUCAGUUUGCCCCGGGGGAUAAAGGCUUCGGGAAAGUGGCUCCCUCGGGAGUGUUAUAGACCGUUGCGUAAUACCCUGGGGCGGACUGAGGUACGCGUUCUGCAAGGAUGCUGGCGUAAUGGUCAUCAGUGACCCGUCU